ACCUGGCUGGUUCAGCUGAUAGAGCAUGAGACUCUUGAUCUCGAGGUUGUGAGUUCAAGCCCCAUGUUAAGUG
RNAcentral lists this transfer RNA (73 nucleotides) under Canis lupus familiaris (dog). It matches the Rfam family "tRNA". From Rfam's summary of the family: Transfer RNA (tRNA) molecules are approximately 80 nucleotides in length. The record is from Rfam by way of RNAcentral. Lineage: Eukaryota; Metazoa; Chordata; Mammalia; Carnivora; Canidae.